Molecule: long non-coding RNA, 598 nt
Organism: Dipodomys spectabilis (banner-tailed kangaroo rat)
Lineage: Eukaryota; Metazoa; Chordata; Mammalia; Rodentia; Heteromyidae
Exons: 2
Source: RefSeq, a predicted model, not a curated record
UUGUCGGGGCGCGGCUGGGGGCCGGGGAGCUGCGCGGGGAGCUGUCUUCGGCUGUCGCCCGUGUGAACCGGGGUACCCCGAGUCUCCGGAAGGAGGAUUGGAGCCCCAGAUCUUCGCUGGCCGAGGUGACGUUUGUCUCUUCCCCGAAGGUUUUUGUCUUACUUGUACCACUUUCCACUUUUUCUUUUUCCCCGCGAGGUGUCCGGUUCCUUUCUGCCUCUGCGCGUUGGCGAAACUGGACUUCAGGGUGCGGGGCUCCGAGAACGAACGCGGCUGGAAACCGAGGCUUGUCUUUGGUGAGACCGCGAAUUAAUGAGGUCACCAGUUACUCUUGCUAAACUGGCGCUCCGUGGGAAAUAAUCUCCACCAAAUCUAGAACUUUCGGCUUGCUUCCACCUGGAAGGCUUCACCAGGUAUUGUUUGCUGCUUGACUUCAGCUGACCAUGCAGAGCCAGUUAAGAAAAAGAAGAAGAGAAAAGAAACAGGAAACUAUCCACCAAGUAUUUAAACACUAUUUCAGUUAUCACAGCUUUUCGGUAUUUCUUAUUUGAAAGCAUGGAAAUAUUUUGAAAAUAAAACAUUAAAUUGUGGAAAACUU